CACGUGUAUCACCUUCACUCGCGCAGCGUGUGCGGAGUCUCGUACCUGUGCGCCAUGUUUGGGCAGUUUGGAUGCAAACAAAACAAUGGAUUAUUUACCAAGAUAUAUGAAUGUAUGAACUUAUUUCGAUAAAACACUUCCGAGUUUUUACUCUGCAGAAAACUGACGAGCAACCCAACCCACCAACAGACGAGGAAGAUGAGGAUGAUAAUCACAGUGGUCCAGCAUAUACAAAGAGAGUGAUGCUAAAUAUAAGCAGACUAUACAGAUGCUCAUCUCUGCCAAAACACACGUGACUACAACACAAACACAGCAUCACAGUUCAUCACUUUACUUGUAACCAACAGAAGCUGAAGGAAUGGCAAGGUGCUUUGGGGACAAUGAGAAAAACUCAAAAGAAGAUACUUUGAAGAAUGCUGGUAAUCAAACCCAACAAGUUUGUCAGGUGCAGAAAUAAAAGCUCCCAAACAAAGAUGUCACCGGAUUAAGAUGUGGAAAGACAUGUUACACAACAACAACCAUAAUUCCUGAGUAAUUUGAAAAUGGGCAACAACCAAGGAAAACUCUGCCAUUUACUAAUGGGUUAUUCAAAACACAAAGUUUUGGUGUAUCUUUACAAUAAGGUAUCAUUAGUUAACAUUAGUAAAUGUUGAAAUUAACAUUAAAUAAUGAGCAAUACAUUUGUUACAAUUUGCAUUAAUCUUUGAUACUGUUAAAAAACAACAACUGUUCUUUGUUAGUUCAUGUUGGCUCUGAUCCAUUAAAUAAUGUCAACAGGCACAACUUUUGUUCUUAAUGUAUUAGUAAAUGUUGAAAUUAACUAGGUUAAUAUAUUAACUACAGUUAAGUAAGGUUAAUGUUAAGUAUUUGUCAUGUUAGUUCAUGUUGGGUAGGUAACUAAUGUUACAAAUGAAACCUUAUUGUAAAUUGUGAAGUAUCACCUGUGUUUAUUGUUUAUAUGUGUUAAAUUAUUUAUACAUAAGUAUAAAUAAAUGUAAGGGUAAUUUAGUUAAAUGGUAUGUUUUUCAUAUUUAUAUAAACUUUGUCUAACUUGUUUUUUUUUUUUGUCUUCUUUUUUUGCUGUAAUUGCAUCGUUUUGUAAAUAAAUUGUUCUCAUGCCAACUUAAUCCAGUGAGUUCUUUACUUUUAAAUGCAUUUAUCAUAAUGAGAUGAGUUAGGGUUAGCGGUAAGUAAACAUUUUGGCAACGUAUCAGUUUUAAAUGAAAGAUUAGUGAACACUAAAGAAGAUAUUAAAAAUGAAUCUGGGCCAUGCCCGG
Cyprinus carpio carpio is the source of this 1277-nucleotide long non-coding RNA. Lineage: Eukaryota; Metazoa; Chordata; Actinopteri; Cypriniformes; Cyprinidae. The record is from Ensembl.